GCGUUGUCCGGAUUUAUUGGGCGUAAAGAGCUCGUAGGCGGUUUGUCGCGUCGGCCGUGAAAUCUCCACGCUUAACGUGGAGCGUGCGGUCGAUACGGGCAGACUUGAGUUCGGUAGGGGAGACUGGAAUUCCUGGUGUAGCGGUGAAAUGCGCAGAUAUCAGGAGGAACACCGGUGGCGAAGGCGGGUCUCUGGGCCGAUACUGACGCUGAGGAGCGAAAGCGUG
RNAcentral lists this ribosomal RNA (226 nucleotides) under uncultured bacterium. RNAcentral describes it as "partial 16S ribosomal RNA". It matches the Rfam family "Bacterial small subunit ribosomal RNA", at positions 538 to 763 of the family's 1533-position model. The record is from RNAcentral.